Molecule: ribosomal RNA, 460 nt
Filed under: uncultured bacterium
Lineage: Bacteria
Description: partial 16S ribosomal RNA
Rfam family: Bacterial small subunit ribosomal RNA
Source: RNAcentral
CCUACGGGAGGCAGCAGUGAGGAAUAUUGGUCAAUGGACGAGAGUCUGAACCAGCCAAGUAGCGUGAAGGAUGACUGCCCUAUGGGUUGUAAACUUCUUUUAUAAAGGAAUAAAACGAGGCACGUGUGCCUUUUUGCAUGUACUUUAUGAAUAAGGAUCGGCUAACUCCGUGCCAGCAGCCGCGGUAAUACGGAGGAUCCGAGCGUUAUCCGGAUUUAUUGGGUUUAAAGGGAGCGUAGAUGGGUUGUUAAGUCAGUUGUGAAAGUUUGCGGCUCAACCGUAAAAUUGCAAUUGAUACUGGCAGUCUUGAGUACAGUUGAGGUAAGCGGAAUUCGUGGUGUAGCGGUGAAAUGCUUAGAUAUCACGAAGAACCCCGAUUGCGAAGGCAGCUUACCAAACUGUGACUGACAUUGAUGCUCGAAAGUGUGGGUAUCAAACAGGAUUAGAUACCCUAGUAGUC